UGGGGAAUAUUGGACAAUGGGCGCAAGCCUGAUCCAGCCAUGCCGCGUGAGUGAUGAAGGCCCUAGGGUUGUAAAGCUCUUUCAACGGUGAAGAUAAUGACGGUAACCGUAGAAGAAGCCCCGGCUAACUUCGUGCCAGCAGCCGCGGUAAUACGAAGGGGGCUAGCGUUGUUCGGAAUUACUGGGCGUAAAGCGCACGUAGGCGGAUACUUAAGUCAGGGGUGAAAUCCCGGGGCUCAACCCCGGAACUGCCUUUGAUACUGGGUAUCUGGAGUCCGGAAGAGGUGAGUGGAAUUCCGAGUGUAGAGGUGAAAUUCGUAGAUAUUCGGAGGAACACCAGUGGCGAAGGCGGCUCACUGGUCCGGUACUGACGCUGAGGUGCGAAAGCGUGGGGAGCAAACAGGAUUAGAUACCCCCGUAGUCCCUGAGCGGGCUGGCAAGGCGCAU
This 447-nucleotide ribosomal RNA is filed under the name uncultured bacterium. RNAcentral's name for it is "bacterial SSU rRNA". It matches the Rfam family "Bacterial small subunit ribosomal RNA", at positions 355 to 825 of the family's 1533-position model. The record is from RNAcentral.